GUGUUGCGUUCUUUGGUUCAUUGUUGGUGUUUCAAUCGGAUAGUAGGAUUAUUGGGGACGUUGAAUCACCCGACGAGCGGGGCUGCCCUGGGACCACCGCCCAAAGUUGAACAUAUUUUUACUUUUAUGCACGGUGAAAAACCUCAGAAAGCGAGAAGCGCAUCUUAACGCUGCUCUGAACCGAUCCGACUGAUCAGAGCUCACAAAGGUUUCCACAAUGAAAGGUUCAAGGCUUCAGGUGCGCAAUUCAGAAAACGGAGAGAAGAGGAGGAAAGCAAAGCUUGAAUUAGUUGUGGCUGGCUAUAUGCCACAGCUAGGCCUAUUGUCUAACUUUAUUUACUCUCCAACAUUCUUGGAUCCUCUGCCGAUGUCCCCAGCUGCUGCAGAAGGGACAUCUGAUCUCCGGUCUUCACCUCGCCUCUCUCUGGAGCAUCCUACAGGUCAAGCAACAUCCAGCACCACAUCCAGGCCUCCAGCUCCCUCCAGGGCAACACAGGCUGAAGGGAAGCUGGAAAGUAUCCGUUCUGAAUUUGUGCAGAGAGUUUCAAUCCCAGUUAUCAAAGGUCUCCUGGAUGACCUUUGGCAGCAGAAAUUGUUGAGUACUGAGGACAAGGAUUUUGUGAUGGAGAAGGGGAAGAUCAAAACGGACAUGGCACGGUGUCUGAUCGACAUGGUUAUCGGGAAAGGGGAGACGGCAAGUAAGGAAAUGAUCGAUAGCAUGAAGAAGAGGGACAAUCCCUUACGCAUCACCCUGGGUCUGAUCUCUUCUCCUACUGCUAGUGGGGCUGAGUUCUAACUGAGUGUAUUUUUAAAGAAAAUUAUUACUGUCGACUUUGUACGUAAUUGUUCAACACAUGUUUAGAAUAGGACCUCCUGCCUGUGCUAGUACAUAUACAUACAUAUAUAUACCUAUACAUACAUACAAAUAUAAAGUGUACUUAGCUUUUCCUCUCGGGUACCUCCUAUAUCCAGAUAUAGUAUAUAUAGAUGUUCUUCACUGCUUAUGUGGAGAGUGUCUUGACCUUCUGCAUAAUCUGCUGGUUUGGCAGCGCAGCAGAAGCACAGAGAAGAGUAGGCUUAGGAAAAUAGUGACCACUGCCAGCAAGCUGUUGGGUACUAAUUUAAGUAAUCUGGAAAACUCCGACAGAAAGUUCAGAGUCAAUUAGAAAUUAUUUUAGCAAAUUCAAAACACCCACUUUUCUCCACCUUUGAACUAUUACCCUCAGGUAGCAGGUUUCGAUACCCAGCCCUCUCCAAAAAUAGAACAAAACAGUAAUUCCUUCCGCAAUCCAUCAGCCUUUUAAACAAACAUUUAAAAAGGUUUUAAUUGUUGGUUUAAAAUGCCAACAUCUUUAGAUGUGUCCCUGAACUAUGUGGAAAAUAUGAUGAUUUGGGGGUUUUGUCUUGUCAGUGGUUGUUUAUCUUUAUUUACUUUUUGUUGUUUGUUUUUCAUGUUGUUGUUAAGGGUCAUGUGUAUCCGUCUUUUCACUGAGAACCAUUUCCCCAAGGGGACAAUACAUUUCUAACUAACUAUAUAGGAGGUUGGCAGGUUGGCUUGUAAACUGAAGGUUGCUAGUUCGAUCCCUUUUCUGUGUCCCUGAGAAACACCUAACCCUAACUGCUCCCGAUGAGCUGAUGGAACAUUGCAUGGUUUACUCCGCCGUGUGUAUUAGGGCUGUGUGACGCUUUGGAUAAAAGCGUCUGCUAAAUGCCCUAAAUGUAAAUACAGAUAUGAAUUUGUAAACAUAUUUAAGUUAUUUUUGUAUGGUUGUGAUCACAGACUUUGUAAAACAUGUUGACAUUAUGCCACAGAAAGAUUUUGUCUUUGCUUCGACAUUUUUGAUAAUCCACAAUGACUAGAAUAAACUUUAAUAAUCUUCCCCAAGUGGCAGCUAGCAUUGGGUCAUAUAAUCUUUUUAUAUAUAUAAAUUAUACAUGUUAACAUGGAUAUAACCAAACUCCCACUCUCAGGGUUUUCACUAACAUUAUCCUGACCCAGGAAAGUUCAGACAUCUGUUUGGGGCAAAAUAAAAAUGGUUUAUGGAGAA
Molecule: long non-coding RNA, 2048 nt
Organism: Gadus macrocephalus (Pacific cod)
Lineage: Eukaryota; Metazoa; Chordata; Actinopteri; Gadiformes; Gadidae
Exons: 3
Source: RefSeq, a predicted model, not a curated record